AGCGAACGCUGGCGGCAGGCUUAACACACGCCAGUCGAGCGGGCACUUUCGGGUGUCAGCGGCGGACGGGUGAGUAACGCGUGGGAACGUGCCCUCUGGUUCGGAAUAACUCAGGGAAACUUGAGCUAAUACCGGAUACGCCCUUUUGGGGAAAGGCUUGCUGCCGGAGGAUCGGCCCGCGUCUGAUUAGCUAGUUGGUGAGGUAACGGCUCACCAAGGCGACGAUCAGUAGCUGGUCUGAGAGGAUGAUCAGCCACACUGGGACUGAGACACGGCCCAGACUCCUACGGGAGGCAGCAGUGGGGAAUAUUGGACAAUGGGCGCAAGCCUGAUCCAGCCAUGCCGCGUGAGUGAUGAAGGCCUUAGGGUUGUAAAGCUCUUUUAUCCGGGACGAUAAUGACGGUACCGGAGGAAUAAGCCCCGGCUAACUUCGUG
RNAcentral lists this ribosomal RNA (435 nucleotides) under uncultured bacterium. RNAcentral describes it as "partial 16S ribosomal RNA". It matches the Rfam family "Bacterial small subunit ribosomal RNA", at positions 29 to 507 of the family's 1533-position model. The record is from RNAcentral.